GUGGCUGUAGCUCAACUGGUUAGAGCACCAGACUGUGGAUCUGGGGGUUGUGGGUUCGAAUCCCAUCAGCCACC
This 74-nucleotide transfer RNA is filed under the name Planctomycetota bacterium. RNAcentral's name for it is "Planctomycetes bacterium (hot springs metagenome) tRNA-His". It matches the Rfam family "tRNA". From Rfam's summary of the family: Transfer RNA (tRNA) molecules are approximately 80 nucleotides in length. Their secondary structure includes four short double-helical elements and three loops (D, anti-codon, and T loops). Further hydrogen bonds mediate the characteristic L-shaped molecular structure. tRNAs have two regions of fundamental functional importance: the anti-codon, which is responsible for specific mRNA codon recognition, and the 3' end, to which the tRNAs corresponding amino acid is attached (by aminoacyl-tRNA synthetases). tRNAs cope with the degeneracy of the genetic code in two manners: having more than one tRNA (with a specific anti-codon) for a particular amino acid; and 'wobble' base-pairing, i.e. permitting non-standard base-pairing at the 3rd anti-codon position. Lineage: Bacteria; Pseudomonadati; Planctomycetota. The record is from RNAcentral.